This is a small nucleolar RNA of Meriones unguiculatus (Mongolian gerbil), 137 nucleotides long. Its record names the gene SNORA70. It matches the Rfam family "Small nucleolar RNA SNORA70". From Rfam's summary of the family: snoRNA U70 seems to be exclusive to mammals and is a member of the H/ACA class of snoRNA which contain H (ANANNA) and ACA box motifs. H/ACA box snoRNAs are involved in the conversion of uridines to pseudouridines (5-ribosyluracil) a constituent of structural RNAs (transfer, ribosomal, small nuclear, and small nucleolar). The record is from Ensembl. NCBI's taxonomy places the organism in Eukaryota, Metazoa, Chordata, Mammalia, Rodentia, Muridae.
UUGCAGCUAAUAAGCCGACCAAAUCCCUUUCCCUUGGGAACUUGGUGUGCAAUGGUUGCAAACAGCAGACUUCCUUGGUGUAGUGUAUGCAGCCUGUUACUUUAUAUGGGUUGCCCCAAGGGACCUUGGAGACAUUU